CUUCCCACAAGUUUUUCCCAUCUAGUUCCCACAUAGUUUUUUCCAUAUACUUCCACUUGUGUGAAGAUAGCUCCCCUAAAGACUUUGUUAAUAACUUUUUAACUAGAGGUGUGUAAACGAAAAUUCGACCUGUUCGGAAAAGUGCAAACAAAAUUCUAUCGAAUAAAUACCAUUUUAAGCACAACAUUCUUGUUUCUAUUUCAUCUGCCGAUGUCACUCGCUUCUGAAACUUUAAUUGUUAAUAACUUUUUAACUAGAGAUCCGAAUAUAGACAGACAGAUCAAUAGAUCAACAAAUCAAAAGAGUAUCUUACGGAUUGAAUUUGAAGAGGUUUUCCAUUUCUUGGAAAAAAAUUAUGCAUCAGGAUAUGCGGAAUAGAGUGCGAUCUUGGAAGAUCGGUAAAAGACGUAAUUAUACCGAAAGGUUGCCUAUAUUUUUCAGAGAAUGAAGAUUCAGAGGAUGAGUGCUAACCAAAUUUGAAACCUUCUCAAUUAAUUAAAAAAAUUAUUAAAAUAACAACAAAAGUUUAUAUUCAUGUAUUAUUUCAUUGUUAAAACUUGUAUAAAUUAAAAAAGAAAAUAUCAAGAAAGUAUUCAACUUAGAUUUACGCGAAGGUUCCAUCGUACCUUAUAUAAGAACAUUUCAUCCCAAUCUAAAAAUUCAGAAUAAAAAUUAAAUAC
Long non-coding RNA from Pogonomyrmex barbatus (red harvester ant), 680 nucleotides. The record is from RefSeq and is a predicted model, not a curated record. Lineage: Eukaryota; Metazoa; Arthropoda; Insecta; Hymenoptera; Formicidae.